UCUAGGGGCAUAGGUUCGGUUUCUCUCCGAUUUCUGAGGCCACUUCCCCGGCUUCAGAGAGCGGAGGGGAUCCAAGCUUAUGGCCUGACGGAAG
Molecule: regulatory RNA element, 94 nt
Rfam family: mraW RNA
Source: Rfam